This 403-nucleotide ribosomal RNA is filed under the name bacterium. RNAcentral's name for it is "partial 16S ribosomal RNA". It matches the Rfam family "Bacterial small subunit ribosomal RNA", at positions 355 to 776 of the family's 1533-position model. The record is from RNAcentral.
UGGGGAAUAUUGCACAAUGGGGGAAACCCUGAUGCAGCGACGCCGCGUGAACGAAGAAGGUAUUCGUAUCGUAAAGUUCUGUCCUAUGUGAAGAUAAUGACAGUACCAUAGAAGAAAGCUCCGGCUAAAUACGUGCCAGCAGCCGCGGUAAUACGUAUGGAGCGAGCGUUGUCCGGAAUUAUUGGGCGUAAAGGGUACGCAGGCGGUUUAAUAAGUCGAAUGUUAAAGAUCGGGGCUCAACCCCGCAAAGCAUUGGAAACUGAUAAACUUGAGUAGUGGAGAGGAAAGUGGAAUUCCUAGUGUAGUGGUGAAAUACGUAGAUAUUAGGAGGAAUACCAGUAGCGAAGGCGACUUUCUGGACACAAACUGACGCUGAGGUACGAAAGCGUGGGGAGCAAACAGG